Molecule: ribosomal RNA, 509 nt
Filed under: uncultured bacterium
Lineage: Bacteria
Description: bacterial SSU rRNA
Rfam family: Bacterial small subunit ribosomal RNA
Source: RNAcentral
GGCUCAGGAUGAACGCUAGCGACAGGCUUAACACAUGCAAGUCGAGGGGUAACAGGGUAGCAAUACCGCUGACGACCGGCGCACGGGUGAGUAACGCGUAUGCAACCUGCCUAGUAACUGGGGGAAUAGCUACCCUGAAAGGGGAAUUAACACCGCAUAACACUAUUGAUUCGCAUGGAUUGGUAGUUAAAUGUAGCGAUACAGGUUAUAGAUGGGCAUGCGUGACAUUAGCUAGUUGGUGAGGUAACGGCUCACCAAGGCUACGAUGUCUAGGGGUUCUGAGAGGAAGGUCCCCCCACACUGGUACUGAGACACGGACCAGACUCCUACGGGAGGCAGCAGUGAGGAAUAUUGGUCAAUGGGCGCAAGCCUGAACCAGCCAUGUCGCGUGCAGGAAAGACUGCCCUAUGGGUUGUAAACUGCUUUUAUAGUAGAAGAAACACAUCUACGUGUAGACGUCUGCCAGUAUACUAUGAAUAAGCAUCGGCUAACUCCGUGCCAGCCGCCGC